CCUACGGGAGGCAGCAGUGGGGAAUAUUGCACAAUGAGGGAAACCCUGAUGCAGCGACGCCGCGUGAGUGAAGAAGUACUUCGGUAUGUAAAGCGCUAUCAGCAGGGAAGAAAAUGACGGUACGUGAGUAAGAAGCGCCGGCUAACUACGUGCCAGCAGCCGCGGUAAUACGUUGGGCGCAAGCGGUAUCCGGAUUUACUGGGUGAAAAGGGAGCGUAGGCGGUUUGGCAAGUCAGGAGCGAAAGCCCCGGGGUCAAAUCCGGGACUGCUUUUGAUACUGUUGAACUAGAGUGGAGGAGAGGUAAGUGGAAUUCCUAGUGUAGCGGUGAAAUGCGUAGAUAUUAGGAAGAACACCAGUGGCGAAGGCGGCUUACUGGACUGUAAAUGACGCUGAGGCUCGAAAGCGUGGGGAGCAAACAGGAUUAGAUACCCGGGUAGUC
This 440-nucleotide ribosomal RNA is filed under the name uncultured bacterium. RNAcentral describes it as "partial 16S ribosomal RNA". It matches the Rfam family "Bacterial small subunit ribosomal RNA", at positions 338 to 795 of the family's 1533-position model. The record is from RNAcentral.